This 779-nucleotide ribosomal RNA is filed under the name Salinicoccus hispanicus. RNAcentral's name for it is "bacterial SSU rRNA". It matches the Rfam family "Bacterial small subunit ribosomal RNA", at positions 59 to 818 of the family's 1533-position model. The record is from RNAcentral. Lineage: Bacteria; Bacillati; Bacillota; Bacilli; Caryophanales; Staphylococcaceae.
CAGUCGACGCGCGGAUCAGGAGCUUGCUCCUGUGACGCGAGUGGCGGACGGGUGAGUAACACGUAGGCAACCUGCCCAUCAGACCGGGAUAACCACGGGAAACCGUGACUAAUACCGGAUAAUCCUUUUCCUCACAGGAGGGAAAGUUGAAAGGCGGUCUUUUGGCUGCCACUGAUGGAUGGGCCUGCGGCGCAUUAGCUAGUUGGUGGGGUAAGGGCCCACCAAGGCGACGAUGCGUAGCCGACCUGAGAGGGUGAUCGGCCACACUGGGACUGAGACACGGCCCAGACUCCUACGGGAGGCAGCAGUAGGGAAUCUUCCGCAAUGGACGAAAGUCUGACGGAGCAACGCCGCGUGAGUGAAGAAGGGUUUCGGCUCGUAAAACUCUGUUGUCAGGGAAGAACGUCCCCGUGAGUAACUGCACGGGGAGUGACGGUACCUGACCAGAAAGCCACGGCUAACUACGUGCCAGCAGCCGCGGUAAUACGUAGGUGGCAAGCGUUAUCCGGAAUUAUUGGGCGUAAAGCGCGCGUAGGCGGUCUGUUAAGUCUGAUGUGAAAGCCCCCGGCUCAACCGGGGAGGGUCAUUGGAAACUGGCAGACUUGAGUGCAGAAGAGGAGAGUGGAAUUCCAUGUGUAGCGGUGAAAUGCGCAGAGAUAUGGAGGAACACCAGUGGCGAAGGCGGCUCUCUGGUCUGUAACUGACGCUGAGGUGCGAAAGCGUGGGGAUCAAACAGGAUUAGAUACCCUGGUAGUCCACGCCGUAAACGAUGAGUGCUA